This 253-nucleotide ribosomal RNA is filed under the name uncultured bacterium. RNAcentral's name for it is "partial 16S ribosomal RNA". It matches the Rfam family "Bacterial small subunit ribosomal RNA", at positions 524 to 776 of the family's 1533-position model. The record is from RNAcentral.
GACAGAGGCCCCGAGCGUUAGGCGGAAUCACUGGGCUUAAAGCGUGUGUAGGCGGCCCUGUAAGUGGGUUGUGAAAUCCCACGGCUCAACCGUGGAACUGCUGGGCAUACUGCGGGUCUUGGGCCAACUAGGGGCAGCCGGAACAAGCGGUGGAGCGGUGAAAUGCGUAGAUAUCGCUUGGAACGCCGAAGGUGAAAACAGGCUGCUGGGGUUGCGCCGACGCUGAGGCGCGAAAGCCAGGGGAGCGAACGGG